ACACACAAACACACAGUCACAGUGUAGAAACGUUCGUCGCAUCGGAGGUCAGUGGUUACUACGAAGAAAGCAAUAACUAGUGUAAUUUACAAUGUAUUUUGCUGAAAUGGAGGUGAAUUAGAAGAGUUGCACGAGCCUUUUUGAGGUGUGGUAGGUCAAGAGGAUAAGUGCUGAGGAAGAAGAAAUACCAAAUUGAAUGGAAAUACAUCCACUUCAUGGGGGCAAAAAGGGUAAUUUUGAGACCUUGAUUAUGAAUUCAAUAUCGCGAAACUACGGUUAUGGUGAAUACUGAAUAGGCUCCAAAAUUUUGGUUUUGUUACUGUUUCAUCCAAUGAUCAAUUGUUGUAUCCAAAUUGCAUACUCAACAUCCCCUUUUCUUUUAUUUAUUUUUUCUUUUUUAUUGUGA
Molecule: non-coding RNA, 406 nt
Organism: Erythranthe guttata (spotted monkey flower)
Lineage: Eukaryota; Viridiplantae; Streptophyta; Magnoliopsida; Lamiales; Phrymaceae
Source: RefSeq, a predicted model, not a curated record